Molecule: small nucleolar RNA, 145 nt
Filed under: Moschus moschiferus (Siberian musk deer)
Lineage: Eukaryota; Metazoa; Chordata; Mammalia; Artiodactyla; Moschidae
Description: Small nucleolar RNA SNORA5 (ENSMMSG00000012678.1)
Rfam family: Small nucleolar RNA SNORA5
About the family: ACA5 is a member of the H/ACA class of snoRNA that guide the sites of modification of uridines to pseudouridines.
Source: Rfam by way of RNAcentral
UGUAGCAAUAAUCACAUUAAAUAUCAAUGUUCUGUUCCCGUGGUAGCAGGGGCUGGCCCGGAUGACUGCCACAGCAAACUCUGCAGCUCAUGGGCCCUGGGUUCCCUGCCCUGGGACCUGGGGAUAAGUUUGGCUCUGGACAUGG